RNAcentral lists this ribosomal RNA (795 nucleotides) under Lactococcus lactis. RNAcentral describes it as "bacterial SSU rRNA". It matches the Rfam family "Bacterial small subunit ribosomal RNA", at positions 83 to 867 of the family's 1533-position model. Lineage: Bacteria; Bacillati; Bacillota; Bacilli; Lactobacillales; Streptococcaceae. The record is from RNAcentral.
CCGACUGGAUGAGCAGCGAACGGGUGAGUAACGCGUGGGGAAUCUGCCUUUGAGCGGGGGACAACAUUUGGAAACGAAUGCUAAUACCGCAUAACAACUUUAAACACAAGUUUUAAGUUUGAAAGAUGCAAUUGCAUCACUCAAAGAUGAUCCCGCGUUGUAUUAGCUAGUUGGUGAGGUAAAGGCUCACCAAGGCGAUGAUACAUAGCCGACCUGAGAGGGUGAUCGGCCACAUUGGGACUGAGACACGGCCCAAACUCCUACGGGAGGCAGCAGUAGGGAAUCUUCGGCAAUGGACGAAAGUCUGACCGAGCAACGCCGCGUGAGUGAAGAAGGUUUUCGGAUCGUAAAACUCUGUUGGUAGAGAAGAACGUUGGUGAGAGUGGAAAGCUCAUCAAGUGACGGUAACUACCCAGAAAGGGACGGCUAACUACGUGCCAGCAGCCGCGGUAAUACGUAGGUCCCGAGCGUUGUCCGGAUUUAUUGGGCGUAAAGCGAGCGCAGGUGGUUUAUUAAGUCUGGUGUAAAAGGCAGUGGCUCAACCAUUGUAUGCAUUGGAAACUGGUAGACUUGAGUGCAGGAGAGGAGAGUGGAAUUCCAUGUGUAGCGGUGAAAUGCGUAGAUAUAUGGAGGAACACCGGUGGCGAAAGCGGCUCUCUGGCCUGUAACUCACACUGAGGCUCGAAAGCGUGGGGAGCAAACAGGAUUAGAUACCCUGGUAGUCCACGCCGUAAACCAUAAGGCUAGAUGUAGGGAGCUAUAAGUUCUCUGUAUCGCAGCUAACGCAAUAAGCAU